Molecule: non-coding RNA, 30 nt
Filed under: Cricetulus griseus (Chinese hamster)
Lineage: Eukaryota; Metazoa; Chordata; Mammalia; Rodentia; Cricetidae
Source: RNAcentral
CAUGCUGGACAGCGGAAAGAACAGAACUGG